Molecule: ribosomal RNA, 253 nt
Filed under: uncultured bacterium
Lineage: Bacteria
Description: partial 16S ribosomal RNA
Rfam family: Bacterial small subunit ribosomal RNA
Source: RNAcentral
UACGGAGGAGGCAAGCGUUAUCCGGAAUUAUUGGGCGUAAAGCGUCCGUAGGUGGGUGAGGAAGUCUGCUGUUAAAGGGUGAGGCUUAACCUCAUAAGGGCAGUGGAAACUCUUCGUCUAGAGUGCGACAGGGGCAAGGGGAAUUCCUAGUGUAGCGGUGAAAUGCGUAGAGAUUAGGAAGAACACCGGUGGCGAAAGCGCCUUGCUGGGUCUGCACUGACACUGAGGGACGAAAGCUAGGGGAGCGAAAGGG